RNAcentral lists this transfer RNA (69 nucleotides) under Niveomyces insectorum RCEF 264. RNAcentral describes it as "Sporothrix insectorum RCEF 264 tRNA". It matches the Rfam family "tRNA". From Rfam's summary of the family: Transfer RNA (tRNA) molecules are approximately 80 nucleotides in length. Their secondary structure includes four short double-helical elements and three loops (D, anti-codon, and T loops). Lineage: Eukaryota; Fungi; Ascomycota; Sordariomycetes; Hypocreales; Cordycipitaceae. The record is from Rfam by way of RNAcentral.
GAUUAUGAAGUAAACGGUUUACACUUAAAUUGCAAAUUUAAAGUUUGAGGUUCGACUCCUCCGUAAUCU